AGUGGAUACCCAUAGAAGCUAGGUAGUUGCAUGGCUAAAGAAAAACUUACUCUCUUUUAGAUCUAGAUUUGAAGAAAAAAUUUAUGAAACAGAUAUGUAAUUCGAUCACAUAUUCAAUUUCAGUAUAAAAUUUAGUAUGCAUUCAAUUUUAGCAAGUGAAGUAGAUUAUAAUAUUUUAUAUUUUAUGUAUGCAUAAUAUAAAUUAAAAAAUAUUUUAAUUUUUUAUUC
RNAcentral lists this long non-coding RNA (228 nucleotides) under Elaeis guineensis (African oil palm). RNAcentral's name for it is "long non-coding RNA (EGUI_LNC034486)". The record is from RNAcentral. Lineage: Eukaryota; Viridiplantae; Streptophyta; Magnoliopsida; Arecales; Arecaceae.